CUUUGAUGACGAGUGGCGCACGGGUGCGUAACGCGUAUACAAUCUGCCUCUUACAGGGGGAUAGCCUUUGGAAACGAAGAAUAAUACCCCAUAGUAUGUAAAUAUCGCAUGGUAAUUACAUUAAAGAUUUAUCGGUAAGAGAUGAGUAUGCGUCCUAUUAGCUAGAUGGUGUGGUAACGGCACACCAUGGCAACGAUAGGUAGGGGCCCUGAGAGGGGGAUCCCCCACACUGGUACUGAGACACGGACCAGACUCCUACGGGAGGCAGCAGUGAGGAAUAUUGGACAAUGGGCGCGAGCCUGAUCCAGCCAUGCCGCGUGCAGGAAGACUGCCCUAUGGGUUGUAAACUGCUUUUAUACGGGAAGAAACCCACCUACGUGUAGGUGGCUGACGGUACCGUAAGAAUAAGCAUCGGCUAACUCCGUGCCAGCAGCCGCGGUAAUACGGAGGAUGCAAGCGUUAUCCGGAAUCAUUGGGUUUAAAGGGUCCGUAGGUGGACAAUUAAGUCAGAGGUGAAAUCCUGCAGCUCAACUGUAGAAUUGCCUUUGAUACUGGUUGUCUUGAAUUAUUGUGAAGUGGUUAGAAUAUGUAGUGUAGCGGUGAAAUGCAUAGAUAUUACAUAGAAUACCAAUUGCGAAGGCAGAUCACUAACAAUAUAUUGACACUGAUGGACGAAAGCGUGGGGAGCGAACGGGAUUAGAUACCCCGGUAGUCCACGCCGUAAACGAUGGUCACUAGCUGUUCGGAUUUCGGUCUGAGUGGCUAAGCGAAAGUGAUAAGUGACCCACCUGGGGAGUACGUUCGCAAGAAUGAAACUC
Molecule: ribosomal RNA, 818 nt
Filed under: uncultured bacterium
Lineage: Bacteria
Description: bacterial SSU rRNA
Rfam family: Bacterial small subunit ribosomal RNA
Source: RNAcentral